This 485-nucleotide ribosomal RNA is filed under the name uncultured bacterium. Its description in RNAcentral is "bacterial SSU rRNA". It matches the Rfam family "Bacterial small subunit ribosomal RNA", at positions 29 to 506 of the family's 1533-position model. The record is from RNAcentral.
AGUGAACGCUGGCGGCAGGCCUAACACAUGCAAGUCGAACGGUAACAGGCCCUUCGGGGUGCUGACGAGUGGCGGACGGGUGAGUAACGCUUAGGAAUCUACCUAGUAGUGGGGGAUAACCCGGGGAAACUCGGGCUAAUACCGCGUACGCCCUACGGGGGAAAGCGGGGGACUUUCGGGCCUCGCGCUAUUAGAUGAGCCUAAGCCCGAUUAGCUAGUUGGUAGGGUAAUGGCCUACCAAGGCGACGAUCGGUAGCUGGCUGAGAGGACGACCAGCCACACUGGGACUGAGACACGGCCCAGACUCCUACGGGAGGCAGCAGUGGGGAAUAUUGGACAAUGGGCGCAAGCCUGAUCCAGCGAUGCCGCGUGUGUGAAGAAGGCCUGCGGGUUGUAAAGCACUUUCAGUAAGGGAAGAAAAGACCGAGUGCUAAUAUCACUCGGUCUUGUACGUUACUUACAGAAGAAGCACCGGCUAACUACGU